RNAcentral lists this ribosomal RNA (253 nucleotides) under uncultured bacterium. Its description in RNAcentral is "partial 16S ribosomal RNA". It matches the Rfam family "Bacterial small subunit ribosomal RNA", at positions 524 to 776 of the family's 1533-position model. The record is from RNAcentral.
UACGGAGGGUGCGAGCGUUAAUCGGAAUUACUGGGCGUAAAGCGUGCGUAGGCGGUUGAUUAAGCGAGAUGUGAAAUCCCGGGGCUUAACCUCGGAACUGCAUUUCGAACUGGUCGACUAGAGUUUUGUAGAGGGUGGUGGAAUUUCCAGUGUAGCGGUGAAAUGCGUAGAGAUUGGAAGGAACAUCAGUGGCGAAGGCGGCCACCUGGACAAAAACUGACGCUGAGGCACGAAAGCGUGGGUAGCAAACAGG